Molecule: ribosomal RNA, 464 nt
Filed under: uncultured bacterium
Lineage: Bacteria
Description: partial 16S ribosomal RNA
Rfam family: Bacterial small subunit ribosomal RNA
Source: RNAcentral
GACGAACGCUGGCGGCGUGCUUAACACAUGCAAGUCGAACGGAAAGGCCCCUUUGGGGGUACUCGAGUGGCGAACGGGUGAGUAACACGUGAGUAACCUGCCCUUCACUUCGGGAUAACUUCGGGAAACUGGGGCUAAUACCGGAUAGGUAUCCUUGCUGCAUGGAGGGGGUUGGACAGCUUCGGCGGUUUUGGAUGGACUCGCGGCUUAUCAGCUUGUUGGUGGGGUAGUGGCUUACCAAGGCUUUGACGGGUAGCCGGCCUGAGAGGGCGACCGGCCACAUUGGGACUGAGAUACGGCCCAGACUCCUACGGGAGGCAGCAGUGGGGAAUAUUGCACAAUGGGCGGAAGCCUGAUGCAGCGACGCCGCGUGCUGGAUGACGGCCUUCGGGUUGUAAACCGCUUUCAGCAGGGGCGAAGCUUUUGUGACGGUACCUGCAGAAGAAGCACCGGCUAACUACGUG